This 235-nucleotide ribosomal RNA is filed under the name uncultured bacterium. Its description in RNAcentral is "partial 16S ribosomal RNA". It matches the Rfam family "Bacterial small subunit ribosomal RNA", at positions 96 to 334 of the family's 1533-position model. The record is from RNAcentral.
UGGCGGACGGGGGAGUAAUGUCUGGGAAACUGCCUGAUGGAGGGGGAUAACUACUGGAAACGGUAGCUAAUACCGCAUAACGUCGCAAGACCAAAGAGGGGGACCUUCGGGCCUCUUGCCAUCGGAUGUGCCCAGAUGGGAUUAGCUAGUAGGUGGGGUAACGGCUCACCUAGGCGACGAUCCCUAGCUGGUCUGAGAGGAUGACCAGCCACACUGGAACUGAGACACGGUCCAG